CGUGUAGGCGGCUUCGUGUGUCUGGCGUGAAAGCCCCGGGCUUACCCCGGGAAGUGCGUUGGAAACUGCGGAGCUAGAGUCCCGGAGAGGGAGGUGGAAUUCCAGGUGUAGCGGUGAAAUGCGUAGAUAUCUGGAAGAACACCGGUGGCGAAGGCGGCCUCCUGGACGGUGACUGACGCUGAGACGCGAAAGCGUGGGGAGCAAACAGGAUUAGAUACCCUGGUAGUCCACGCCAUAAACGAUGGGCACUAGGUGUCGCGGGUAUUGACCCCUGCGGUGCCGCAGCUAACGCAUUAAGUGCCCCGCCUGGGGAAUACGGCCGCAAGGUUAAA
RNAcentral lists this ribosomal RNA (332 nucleotides) under uncultured Desulfacinum sp. RNAcentral describes it as "bacterial SSU rRNA". It matches the Rfam family "Bacterial small subunit ribosomal RNA", at positions 568 to 898 of the family's 1533-position model. Lineage: Bacteria; Pseudomonadati; Thermodesulfobacteriota; Syntrophobacteria; Syntrophobacterales; Syntrophobacteraceae. The record is from RNAcentral.